CCUACGGGGUGCUGCAGUGGGGAAUAUUGCACAAUGGGGGAAACCCUGAUGCAGCGACACCGCGUGAGUGAAGAAGUAUCUCGGUAUGUAAAGCUCUAUCAGCAGGGAAGAAAAUGACGGUACCUGAGUAAGAAGCCCCGGCUAACUACGUGCCAGCAGCCGCGGUAAUACGUAGGGGGCAAGCGUUAUCCGGAUUUACUGGGUGUAAAGGGAGCGUAGACGGCAGUGCAAGUCUGGAGUGAAAGGCGGGGGCUCAACCCCCGGACUGCUCUGGAAACUGUACGGCUGGAGUGCAGGAGAGGUAAGUGGAAUUCCUAGUGUAGCGGUGAAAUGCGUAGAUAUUAGGAGGAACACCAGUGGCGAAGGCGGCUUACUGGACUGUAACUGACGUUGAGGCUCGAAAGCGUGGGGAGCAAACAGGAUUAGAUACCCCGGUAGUC
RNAcentral lists this ribosomal RNA (440 nucleotides) under uncultured bacterium. RNAcentral's name for it is "partial 16S ribosomal RNA". It matches the Rfam family "Bacterial small subunit ribosomal RNA", at positions 338 to 795 of the family's 1533-position model. The record is from RNAcentral.